AAUGGCAAUUCCUGCUGCCCUGCUGAUACUGAAUUUAUUUUUUAUUUUAAGUUUUUCAGCAAUAAGAUCUUAAAAACCGGCCGGGCGCGGUGGCUCAUGCCUGUAAUCCCAGCACUUUGGGAAGCCAAGGCAGGCAGAUCACCUGAGGUCGGGUGAGUUCAGCCUGACCAACAUGGAGAAACCCUGUCUCUACUAAAAAUACAAAAUUAGCCGGGCAUGGUGGCGCAUGCCUGUAAUUCCAGCUACUCGGGAGGCUGAGGCAGGAGAAUCGCUUGAACCAGGGAGGUGGAAGUCGAGGUGAGCCGAGAUCGCGCCAUUGCACUCCAGCCUGGGCAACAAGAGUGAAACUCCGUCUCAAAAAAAAAUUCUUAAAAACCGGCAGAAAAUGUAUCAGGGUGCCCGGUACUAACAGGAGAUGAGACAUAGGCAAGAGCCCAGCCCUCGAAUUGCUAACAGUUUUGCUUGGGAACCGGAAUUAAUGUCUUCAGCAUACUCAGGCCAAGGUGACAGCACCGGCUCUCAGAGAGGUUGGAUUUCAGCAACUUCCCAUCCUCUCAACCCACACAGGAACAGGCCCCUCGGCAGUUCGAGAACGCACCUUCCCAUACUUCAGAGUUGCCGGAGGGAGGGUGGAGGACCUCCUGCCUCACAGUGAUCUGAGGUCCAGAAACCCUAGGGACCCCAGCUUGAGGCUCUGAAGGGCUGUGACACAGCCUCUUUGCCUGCCAGCCCCGCCCCGGAUGCAGCCUGCUGAGCGAGGGUGGAGGAGGGGAGCUAUGUGGCCAAAACCCUGAGUCACUGAGGAGCACGAGGGAGCCGCCCUUUCCGGCGUGUCUCCCGAGGCUGUCUGCCCUUCCCCAGCCUCUGCAGCCUACAAUCCCAAUCAAGAGCCAGCCCGGUUUCUGCAAGCACACAGGAGCAGAAGAGAAACCAGUGAAGACUUCACCGCUGCAUAUCAGGCCAGCGACGGCUGCUCGGUGACGGCGCUGCUCUGCCACCAAGAAAAACCCCAAACCCACUGAUCCCACAAAGAGGGGAGAAAAAGGAAGGCUUCAUGCUGAAGAAGGAGAAAUACAAACGUGUAUGUGCCGGUUUGCCUCUGGUCGUUACCGUGGAGGCAUUCACACGCCUGUCCAUUUGGCAUUAUUAUGAGCGAUCCCCAGACAGAAGAACUUAAGGUCAAGUUUUACAGAGAUAACCAAGGACAUCUUAAAGGAGACAGGCUGUGCGAUCAUUGGAAGAGGGAAGCUGUGGAUCUUGCAUUCAUGCAUUUGGAUGAAGAUGACACUGGAAACUGCACGUUGCAGGUUGAGGUGGCCAAGUAUCAACGGAAUGGGAAAUAUGAGGCUUCAGGAAGGAAGUGCGCGAACCACAGGAAGGCUCCGUCUCUACGGCAGAAGCGGCCACGCCGCAGCCCAUCCAAACGCCGCGACACGAGUGAGUUGUCCUCAUCGAACACAUUUCAUCCUGUGGAUUUUGAGGAUGGCCAGAGAAGACCUUCAAGGAGAGUCAAGUUUGGACCAACUCGGAGGCUCAUUGUCUUUGACAGACACCCAGCUGGUGAACCUGUGUCCUGGAGGAAUGCAGGAGCAGCUGCUCAUUGUAUUCAAACCUUUGAUGGAAGGUGGUUUGAAUGAUAAUGGUUGAACAGACUCCAAGGCUGAGAGGACGGGCGGGCGGCUUCCUUCAGUGUCCCUGAGGCCAACACACUCAGUGCUCCGAUUCCACAGAGGGGGACUUUGGGUGGUGCUGGGGGCGUUGAGGAAGAAGGGCCCCUGGGCACAGCCAGCAGUGCUGUCCUCAGUAGUGAUGACAAGGAGGAGGAGGAAAAGGGAAAAGAGGAGGAUAUGAUGACAAAGAUGAUAUUUAAUCCCUCAAACUUGCUUUUAGGGAAGUUCCUCCAUCUGCAUGUGGCUGUGUGUCAGGGUGAUUAUUAGUAGGGUUACGUGAACACGGCACAGUGGUACAAUGCCAUCAGACUAAAUUUUUUAAAAGUUUUAAAUUUUCAUUGUAACUGGCAAUUAAUGAUUUUUAAAUUAUUUUUAUUUAUUUAUUUGUUUUUUGAGACAGGUCUCAUUCCGUCACCCAAGGCUGGAGUGCAGUGGUGUGAUCUCAGCUCACUGCAACCUCUGCCUCCCAGCUCGAGCGAUUCUCUCACCUCAGCCUCCCAAGUACCUGGGACUGCAGAUGUGUGCCACCACACCUGGCUAAUUUUUUUUUUUUUUUAUAGGGUUGGGGUUUCGCCAUGUUGCCCAGGCUGGCCUCAAACUGCUGAACUCAAGCAAUCUGCCCAUCUUAGCCUCCAAAAAUGCUGGGAUUCCAGGUGAGAGCCAUCACGCCUGGCUAUUUUUAAAAAGAGUCUUGCUCUGUCAUCCAGGCUGGAGUGCAGUGACACAGUCAUGGCUCAUUGCAGCCUUGAACUCCUGGACUCACGUGACCCUCUUGCUUCAGCCUCCUGAGUAGCUGGAAUUACAGGUGCGUGCCACCAUGCCUAACUAAUGUAUAUUUUUAAAUUUUUUGUAGAGAUGGGUCUCAUUAUGUUGCCCAAGCUGGUCUUGAACUCCUGGCCUCAAGCAGUUAUCCCAUCUCAGCCUCCCAAAUUGCUGGGAUUACAGGCAUGACCCACAGUGCCCAGCCAUUAAUUUUUUUUUUUUUUUUUUGACGGAGUCUCGCUCUGUCACCCAGGCUGGAGUGCAGUGGCACAAUCUCGGCUCACUGCAAGCUCUGCUUCCCAGCUUCACGCCAUUCUCCUGCCUCAGCCUCCCGGGUAGCUGGGACUACAGGCGCCCGCCACCAGACCCGGCUAAAUAUUUGUAUUUUUAGUAGAGACAGGGCUUCACUGUGUUAGCCAGGGUGGUCUCGAUCCGCCACCUCAGCCUCCCAGAGUGCUGGGAUUACAGGCGUGAGCCACCGCACCCGGCCUCAGACAACAUGACUUUAUUACUGGAAACCAACUAAGAAAAAAUUAUGAUUAGGAGGAGAAAACAGCAAACGGUCGGGGUCAAAAACCAAUAUUCAGCAAUCAAUAGCUUUUACCAAUCAAAAGAACUUUUAGAAGAUAUAAUUGAAGACAAAAUCCUAUUUAUAAUAGCAAACAACAGCAAAAGCAAGGAAUGAACUUAGUCAAUGUGCACUGCCUGUAGGAGAUGACCUCGUGAUCGGCAUGCCCGCCUUGGCCUCCCAAAGUGCUGGGAUUACAGGAGUGAGCCACUGUGCCCAAAAAAAUAAAUUUUGUAAUGUUUCACUUAACAAAAGAGAUACAUUCUGAGAAAUGUAUCAUUAAGUGAUUUCAUAAUUAGUUGAUUUCAUUGUCACGCAAACAUCAUAGAAUGCACUUACACAAACCUAGAUGGUACAGCCUACUACACACCCAGGCUUUAUGGUAGAGCCUAUUGCCCUUGGCUAUAAACCUGUAGAGAUGUUACUGUACUGAAUACUGUAGGCAACUGUAACACAAUAAUAGGUAUCUCUGUAUCUAAACAUGGAAAAGGUACAGUAAAAUUACUGUAUUAGUCCAGGUGCAGGCAGCUCAUGCCUGUAAUCUCAGCACUUGGGGAAGCUGAGGUGGGUGGACUGCUUGAGACCAGGAGUUCAAGACCAGCUUGGGCAACAUAAUGAGAUCCUGUCUCUACCAAAAAUUAAAAUAAUUAGCCAGGCGUGGUAGCAUGUGCCUGUAGUCCUAGUUACUAGGGAUGCUGAGGCAGGAGGAUCACUUGAGCCUAGUGAGGUAUGAUCAUGCCACUGCACCCAGCUGGGGCAACAGAGUGAGACCUCAUCUAUAAAAAUAAUAAAAUAAAUCUUAAAUAAAUUUUAAUAAACAAAACAUGGCAUUAUAAUCUUAGGGGACCACCAUCGUACAUGCAGUCCAUCACUGAUUGAAACAUCAUGCAACAUAUAACCAUAUAUGUUAAUGGCUGUUCAAUUAAAACUUCAUAGUCCUAAUGUAAAUUUAAAAAGACAAAGAAGAAAAUUAAGCAACAGGCCCAGAUUCAACUUUUCUAUGAAAAAUAGAAACUGUCAUGUUGAGUCAUAAAAUAAAAAAACUAGCAAAUCCAGCUCUAUGCUCAGAGAAUUACCAGAAAAUAAAAUUACAUGAAGCUUGAAUAUAGGGAGAUGGAAAGAUAUUAGACAAAUAUUAAAGAAAAUCUGGGCCAGGUGUGGUGGCUCACACCUGCAAUCCCAGCACUUUGGGAGGCCCAAGGUGGGAAGAUUACUUGAGGCAAGGGGUUUGAGACCAGCCCGGGCAACAUAGUGAAACUCUGUCUCUUUAAAAAAGAAAGAAAAGAAAAGAAAGAAAGAAAAGAAAAUCUCAGUGAGUGAUGGUCAGAAUAGAAUUCAACAUAACAAGCUCAUUAUUAAAAUAUUUGAUCUCACUGUGUACAAUUCUGAAGACACUCAUUCAUGUACUUCAUUAAAUAUUUCUAGUUUGCUAAAAAUAGAAUUACCCUUCAACCCAGCAAUCCCAUUACUGGGUAUCUACCAAAAGGAAAAAAAAAAUCAUUCUAUGAAAAGAUGCCUGCACUUGUAUGUUCAUCACAGAACUAUUUACAGUAGCAAAGACAUGGAAUCAACCCAGGUGCCCAUCAACAGUGGACUGGAUAAAGAAAGUGUGGUAC
RNAcentral lists this long non-coding RNA (4616 nucleotides) under Homo sapiens (human). RNAcentral describes it as "non-protein coding lnc-SERPINB6-9:1". Lineage: Eukaryota; Metazoa; Chordata; Mammalia; Primates; Hominidae. The record is from RNAcentral.